CGGUAAUAUGGGACACAUGGGAGCCUGAGGAAACUCCUGCUCCACCAGAGGAGCCCCAGGGCUGGGGGGAUGACGGUACCCUGCCGGUGCGUGCUGCUGGCUGGGAUGAUGACGGUAUAGCUGCUGCCACGGCAGGCUGGGAUGACGAUGGCUCUCUGCCUGUGAAGGUGGAUGACUCCUGGGGGGAUGAUGGUGAUGCUGAUGCUACAUCCGUAGCCCCAGCCACUGCUUCCGCUGCCGUGGCCGAUUCUGAGGCCGCUGGCUGGGAUGAUGAGGAGGAGGGGGUGCCCCAGGCUGACACACUUACGGCACCUGCAGCCCCUACACCUGCAGCCCCUACACCUGCAGCCCCUACACCUGCAGCCCCUACACCUGCAGCCACAGCACCAGAAGAGGUACCCAGUCAAAGACA
Molecule: non-coding RNA, 412 nt
Organism: Salvelinus sp. IW2-2015
Lineage: Eukaryota; Metazoa; Chordata; Actinopteri; Salmoniformes; Salmonidae
Source: RefSeq, a predicted model, not a curated record